This 528-nucleotide long non-coding RNA is filed under the name Ananas comosus (pineapple). RNAcentral describes it as "long non-coding RNA (ACOM_LNC044471)". Lineage: Eukaryota; Viridiplantae; Streptophyta; Magnoliopsida; Poales; Bromeliaceae. The record is from RNAcentral.
CCUUUUUUUUUUUUGAGAAAGAAAGAUAGCAUGUUACUCAUUUCAUUUAUUUUCAUUUAGAAAUAAACAUAACUGAAAAUGUGAAUCAAAUAUGAUUCAAACUUAGAACCUUCGAUAUCAACCACCAAACCCUUUGUCACUUGCGCUAGGCAUGGUUGGUAGCUCAAUUCCAUUAUUAACUUAAGAGAAAACUUCAAAUAUUGCCCCUAUGGUUUCACACUUUCUCACUUUAGUAUCCCAUGCUUUAAAAUGUAUCAAUUUAAUGCCCUUUGGUUUUAUUUUUAUUUUUUUAUUAUAGAUUCCACUAAUUUUUUUUAUUAAAUCAAUGACAAAGUUAAAACUAAAAAGUACUAAAGUAAAUAUUCGAUAAACCUAGAUAGGGUAUUUAAAGUUUUUUGUAUAUAAUUUAACUAAAUAUUAACGAAAAAACUGACGAAAAUAUAAAAAUAAAAUCACAGGACACUAACUUGAUACACUUUAAAUCACAAAACAGUAAAGUGAGAAAGUUCAAAAUUACAGGUGUGUCAU